Molecule: ribosomal RNA, 253 nt
Filed under: uncultured bacterium
Lineage: Bacteria
Description: partial 16S ribosomal RNA
Rfam family: Bacterial small subunit ribosomal RNA
Source: RNAcentral
UACGUAGGGUGCGAGCGUUAAUCGGAAUUACUGGGCGUAAAGCGUGCGCAGGCGGUUUUGUAAGCCAGAUGUGAAAUCCCCGGGCUUAACCUGGGAAUGGCAUUUGGGACUGCAAGGCUCGAGUGCGGCAGAGGAGACUGGAAUUCCUGGUAUAGCAGUGAAAUGCGUAGAUAUCAGGAGGAACACCGAUGGCGAAGGCAGGUCUCUGGGCUGACACUGACGCUCAUGCACGAAAGCGUGGGGAGCAAACAGG